GAUUAACGCUGGCGGCGUGCAUAACACAUGCCAGUCGAACGAAGAAACUUAGUAGACUUCUUCGGCAAGACAUUAAGCGGAUUAGUUGCGAACGGGUGAGUAACGCGUGAGUAACCUGCCUUACACAAGGGGAUAGCGUUUGGAAACGAAGAAUAAUACUCUAUCAAACCAUAAAAGCACAUGUUAGGAUGGUCAAAGUGAUAGUGGUGUAAGAUGGACUUGCGUCUGAUGAGCUAGUUGGUGAGGUAUAAGCUCACCAAGGCAGCUAUCAGUAGCCGGCUUGAGAGCGUGUACGGCCACAUUGGGACUGGGACACGGCCCAGACUCCUACGGGAGGCAGCAGUGGGGAAUUUUGCACGAUGGGGGAAACCCUGAUGCAUCGACGCCGCGAGAUUUAGAAGGCCUUCGGGUUGUAAAAAUCUUUUGUAUAGGAAGAAAAUGACAGUACUAUACGAAUAAGGUCCGGCUAAUUACGUG
Molecule: ribosomal RNA, 477 nt
Filed under: uncultured bacterium
Lineage: Bacteria
Description: partial 16S ribosomal RNA
Rfam family: Bacterial small subunit ribosomal RNA
Source: RNAcentral